This 392-nucleotide unclassified non-coding RNA is filed under the name Hevea brasiliensis (rubber tree). The record is from RNAcentral. Lineage: Eukaryota; Viridiplantae; Streptophyta; Magnoliopsida; Malpighiales; Euphorbiaceae.
AGGCAAAAUCAAGAAGAUUAUAGUAGUGUUAGACUUUCUUUCAGUUCAAUGCAUUUUUAAACUAUGAGGUGGCAUAGCAUUGGCGCUCUGAUGUGUUAUACUGGGUUUGCACUUGAUGCAGGGUGAUAGAUCUCUGGGUCAGAAGCUAGCUUCUCGUCUCAAUGUAAGGCCAAGAAUUUGAAGAUGAUGCCAGCGUAAUAUGCCAACUCAGAGUGAGGCUAGUGGUACAGAAGCCCAAAAUCAGUGUCAAAGUUGGAUUGCUUUAACUUGCAUGUAAUGUUUCUCUUAUGACUAGAUGUAUCAUCUAAUAAAUUCGUGUUGUAUGCUGUCCAUUCAGACUUGUUUUAGUGUAUGUAAGAUGGUACGGCAUGUAGUUUGCUGGAUUCAUAUCU